Molecule: ribosomal RNA, 393 nt
Filed under: uncultured bacterium
Lineage: Bacteria
Description: partial 16S ribosomal RNA
Rfam family: Bacterial small subunit ribosomal RNA
Source: RNAcentral
AUACGGAGGACGCGAGCGUUAUCCGGAUUCAUUGGGUUUAAAGGGUGCGCAGGCGGCCGUGCAAGUCAGCGGUGAAAGCCCGGGGCUCAACCCCGGAAGUGCCGUUGAUACUGCAUGGCUGGAAUGCGGUCGAGGCGGGCGGGACGGGGGGUGUAGCGGUGGAAUGCGUAGAUAUGCCACAGAACGCCGAUAGCGGAGGCAGCUCGCCAGGCCUGCAUUGACGCUCGGGCACGAAAGCGUGGGGAUCGAACAGGAUUAGAUACCCUGGUAGUCCACGCCGUAAACGAUGGGCGCUCGUCGUCGGCGGCAGACAGUCGGCGGCCAAGCGAAAGCGAUAAGCGCCCCACCUGGGGAGUACGGUCGCAAGGCUGAAACUCAAAUGAAUUGACGGGG